This 401-nucleotide ribosomal RNA is filed under the name uncultured bacterium. Its description in RNAcentral is "bacterial SSU rRNA". It matches the Rfam family "Bacterial small subunit ribosomal RNA", at positions 29 to 421 of the family's 1533-position model. The record is from RNAcentral.
AAUGAACGCUGGCGGCGCGCCUAAUACGUGCAAGUCGAGCGAGAAGACGUAGCAAUACGUUUGUAAAGCGGCGAACGGGUGAGGAAUACAUGGGUAACCUACCCUCGAGUGGGGAAUAACUAGCCGAAAGGUUAGCUAAUACCGCGUACGCUUCUUGGACUUCGGUUCAGGGAGGAAAGCGAUACCGUGGGUAUCGCGCUCUUGGAUGGGCUCAUGUCCUAUCAGCUUGUUGGUGAGGAACGGCUCACCAAGGCUUCGACGGGUAGCUGGUCUGAGAGGACGAUCAGCCACACUGGCACUGCGACACGGGCCAGACUCCUACGGGAGGCAGCAGUAAGGAAUAUUGCGCAAUGGGCGAAAGCCUGACGCAGCGACGCCGCGUGGGGGAUGAAGGUCUUCGG